GAUGAACGCUGGCGGCGUGCCUAAUACAUGCAAGUCGAGCGAACAGACGAGGAGCUUGCUCCUCUGACGUUAGCGGCGGACGGGUGAGUAACACGUGGAUAACCUACCUAUAAGACUGGGAUAACUUCGGGAAACCGGAGCUAAUACCGGAUAAUAUAUUGAACCGCAUGGUUCAAUAGUGAAAGACGGUUUUGCUGUCACUUAUAGAUGGAUCCGCGCCGCAUUAGCUAGUUGGUAAGGUAACGGCUUACCAAGGCAACGAUGCGUAGCCGACCUGAGAGGGUGAUCGGCCAGACGGGAACUGAGACACGGUCCAGACUCCGACGGGAGGCAGCAGUAGGGAAUCUUCCGCAAUGGGCGAAAGCCUGACGGAGCAACGCCGCGUGAGUGAUGAAGGUCUUCGGAUCGUAAAACUCUGUUAUUAGGGAAGAACAAAUGUGUAAGUAACUAUGCACGUCUUGACGGUACCUAAUCAGAAAGCCACGGCUAACUACGUG
This 497-nucleotide ribosomal RNA is filed under the name uncultured bacterium. RNAcentral describes it as "partial 16S ribosomal RNA". It matches the Rfam family "Bacterial small subunit ribosomal RNA", at positions 28 to 507 of the family's 1533-position model. The record is from RNAcentral.